RNAcentral lists this ribosomal RNA (836 nucleotides) under uncultured bacterium. RNAcentral describes it as "bacterial SSU rRNA". It matches the Rfam family "Bacterial small subunit ribosomal RNA", at positions 28 to 839 of the family's 1533-position model. The record is from RNAcentral.
GACGAACGCUGGCGGCGUGCUUAACACAUGCAAGUCGAGCGGUAAGGCCCUUUUGGGGGUACACGAGCGGCGAACGGGUGAGUAACACGUGGGUGACCUGCCUUCAGCUCUGGGAUAAGCUUGGGAAACUGGGUCUAAUACCGGAUGUGACUGUCUGCCGCAUGGUGGGUGGUGGAAAGUUCUCGGGCUUUGGUCUGGGUUCGGCUGGGGAUGGGCCUGCGGCCUAUCAGCUUGUUGGUGGGGUGAUGGCCUACCAAGGCGACGACGGGUAGCCGGCCUGAGAGGGCGACCGGCCACACUGGGACUGAGACACGGCCCAGACUCCUACGGGAGGCAGCAGUGGGGAAUAUUGCGCAAUGGGCGGAAGCCUGACGCAGCGACGCCGCGUGGGGGAUGACGGCCUUCGGGUUGUAAACCUCUUUCGCCAUCGACGAAGGUUCUGUGGUUGUGAGGCUGCAGGGUUGACGGUAGGUGGAGAAGAAGCACCGGCCAACUACGUGCCAGCAGCCGCGGUAAUACGUAGGGUGCGAGCGUUGUCCGGAAUUAUUGGGCGUAAAGAGCUCGUAGGCGGUGUGUCGCGUCGGCCGUGAAAACCUGCAGCUUAACUGUGGGCGUGCGGUCGAUACGGGCAUCACUGGAGUUCGGCAGGGGAGACUGGAAUUCCUGGUGUAGCGGUGAAAUGCGCAGAUAUCAGGAGGAACACCGGUGGCGAAGGCGGGUCUCUGGGCCGAUACUGACGCUGAGGAGCGAAAGCGUGGGGAGCGAACAGGAAUUAGAUACCCUGGUAGUCCACGCCGUAAACGGUGGGCGCUAGGUGUGGGGGCCAUUCCACGGUC